AAUUCGCCCUUUCCGUAGGUGAACCUGCGGAAGGAUCAUUGUCGAAACCUGCCCAGCAACACAACCUGUGGACUCGUUCAUUGUAUCGACGGGGGUUUUGCUGUAAAUCCUUGGAUUGACAACAUUCCCCGUAAAAGUCGAGGGGUAUGCCGGUCGCUCAGCAGCGUUUGGCUCCUCAAGACACAACAAACCAACUCGGGCGCUGGUUGCGCCAAGGAACAUCAUUAAAAACUAAAGGAACUCCCUGCCAUCCCRGAAACGGUGCAUGCGUCGGGGAUUGGUUCCUUGUGGUCAUAAACAAAACGACUCUCGGCAACGGAUAUCUCGGCUCUCGCAUCGAUGAAGAACGCAGCAAGGGCGAAUUGGUGUGAAUUGCAGAAUCCCGUGAACCAUCGAGUCUUUGAACGCAAGUUGCGCCCAAAGCCUUUUGGUUGAGGGCACGUCUGCCUGGGUGUCACACAAAGUCGCCCAAGCCCAACAUCCAGUGGGAAUCGGGCGGAUAUUGGUCUCCCGUGUGCCCUUGCUCGCGGUUGGCCCAAAAUAUGAGCCUCGAUGACUGUAGUCACGACGAUCGGUGGUUUGUAGACCCUAGGACAUCGUCGUGCGCUGCCGUCUCUUGGUCACCGACGGCCCGAAAAAGCAUAACUGAUUGCUCCAAAAGCGACCCCAGGUCAGGCGGGACUACCCGCUGAGUUUAAGCAUAUCAAUAAGCGGAGGAA
Molecule: ribosomal RNA, 719 nt
Filed under: Clusia blattophila
Lineage: Eukaryota; Viridiplantae; Streptophyta; Magnoliopsida; Malpighiales; Clusiaceae
Description: eukaryotic LSU rRNA
Rfam family: 5.8S ribosomal RNA (bases 305-457)
Source: RNAcentral